AACGAACGCUGGCGGCAGGCCUAACACAUGCAAGUCGAGCGCUGUAGCAAUACAGAGCGGCGCACGGGUGAGUAACACGUGGGAACGUGCCCUUUGGUUCGGAAUAACUCAGGGAAACUUGAGCUAAUACCGGAUGAGCCCUAACGGGGAAAGAUUUAUCGCCGAAGGAGCGGCCCGCGUUGGAUUAGCUAGUUGGUGGGGUAAAAGCCUACCAAGGCGACGAUCCAUAGCUGGUUUGAGAGAACGACCAGCCACACUGGGACUGAGACACGGCCCAGACUCCUACGGGAGGCAGCAGUGGGGAAUCUUGGACAAGUGGGGAAACCCUGAUCCAGCCAUGCCGCGUGAGUGAUGAAGGCCCUAGGGUU
This 368-nucleotide ribosomal RNA is filed under the name uncultured bacterium. RNAcentral's name for it is "bacterial SSU rRNA". It matches the Rfam family "Bacterial small subunit ribosomal RNA", at positions 29 to 424 of the family's 1533-position model. The record is from RNAcentral.